GGGAGAGUAGUUAGUGAAAUUCAGCAGUUCUAUAAAAGUGUAAAGUUAUCAGAUCCGGAUGUAGAGGGAGCUCCCAAAUAAGCGGCGUUGUUGUUUUUAAUUACCGUCCACUGGGACCUUUGAUUGGGGUUGCUGUAUGGUCGGGAUGACUCCCUAAGGAUUGGCCCUCAAACUCCCUGACCCUGUAACUUUGCUGUGAGAUCGCCAAGAUGAUAGAGGAGUAUAAGCCAAUUUGGGGGGAACCUUUACACAGCAUCCAGUCAAAGUUAUCAUCUGCCUUUUCUCUCAUGCUUUUUCUCUCAGGACUGCAACAUGACUCCGCAUGGAGAGAGAUCCUGUAAACUUCUCUCAUGCUGCUGGUGUACUGUUAGCUAAAUGGACAUGACAUAAUGGACUGUAAAGGACAGUGGCGGCUCAGGUGCAAAGCAUUAUCAAGUGCCAUCCACUUUGAACAUGUGCCAU
Molecule: long non-coding RNA, 462 nt
Organism: Oncorhynchus gorbuscha (pink salmon)
Lineage: Eukaryota; Metazoa; Chordata; Actinopteri; Salmoniformes; Salmonidae
Exons: 3
Source: RefSeq, a predicted model, not a curated record